UCAUUCUAGAAGCACCUUCCGGUACUUCUACUAUGUUACGACUUAUCUUAUCUUAAUAAUAAGAGCGACGGGCGAUGUGUGCAUAUUUUAGAGCUAAAAUCAAAUUAUUAAUCUUUAUAAUUUUACUAUCAAAUCCACUUUCAAUGAAUUUUUCAUUUUCAUAUCCAUAUAAAUAAUUUUAUUGUAACCCAUUUCUACUUAAAUAUAAGCUACACCUUGAUCUGAUAUAUUUUUUUAAUUUAAAAUUUAGAAAAUUAUUAUUCUUUUAAAAUAUUCUUAUAACGACGGUAUAUAAACUGAUUAACUAAUUUAAGUGAGGUCCAUCGUGGAUUAUCGAUUAUAGAACAGGUUCCUCUGAAUAGACUAAAAUACCGCCAAAUUUUUUAAGUUUCAAGAACAUAACUAAUACUACUCAAAUUUUUAAAUUUACGUUUUAAAUAAUAGGGUAUCUAAUCCUAGUUUUUCAUUAAAAUUUUCAAGCUUCAAUUUAUUUUUUAACAAAAUUAAUAAUAAUUUAAAAUUUCACCUAAUAAAUUAUUUUUUAAUUUAAAUAAACAAUUUAACUUAUUAUUGAAAAAAUUUUUUUGCAUCAUUUGUAUAACCGCGGCUGCUGGCACAAAUUUAGCCAAUACUCAAUAAUAUAUCUAUUUCUAAAUUUCUUCAAUCAAUAAUACUAAUUACUGCGGAUUCUAUAUAAAUUACUUAUUUUUAAAAUAAAUAAAAAUUCUCGCAAAAACUUGCAUAUAAAAUAAACUUAUAAAAAAUUCUAAAGCCAAAAUAAAAC
This 784-nucleotide ribosomal RNA is filed under the name Celyphus obtectus. RNAcentral describes it as "partial 12S ribosomal RNA". The record is from RNAcentral. Lineage: Eukaryota; Metazoa; Arthropoda; Insecta; Diptera; Celyphidae.